This 650-nucleotide ribosomal RNA is filed under the name uncultured marine bacterium. RNAcentral's name for it is "bacterial SSU rRNA". It matches the Rfam family "Bacterial small subunit ribosomal RNA", at positions 79 to 718 of the family's 1533-position model. The record is from RNAcentral.
UCAGGGAACGUUAAGGGCGGCGAGCGGCGGACGGGUGAGUAAUGCCUGGGAAAUUGCCCUGAUGUGGGGGAUAACCAUUGGAAACGAUGGCUAAUACCGCAUAAUAGCUUCGGCUCAAAGAGGGGGAGCUUCAGGCCUCUCGCGUCUGGAUAUGCCCAGGUGGGAUUAGGUACUUGGUGAGGUAAGGGCUCACCACGGCGACGAUCCCUAACUGGUCUGAUAGGAUGAUCAGCCACACUGGAACUGAUACACGGUCCAGACUCCUACGGGAGGCAGCAGUGGGGAAUAUUGCACAAUGGGCGCAAGCCUGAUGCAGCCAUGCCCCGUGUAUGAAGAAGGCCUUCCGGUUGUAAAGUACUUUCCUCAGUGAGGAAGGCGGGUGUGUUAAUAGCACAUUCGUUUGACGUUAGCUGCACAAGAAGCACCGGCUAACUCCGUGCCUACAGCCGCGGUAAUACGGAGGGUGCGAGCGUUAAUCUGAAUUACUGGUCGUAAAGCUCAUGCCUGUGGUUUGUUAAGUCACAUGUGAAAUCCCGGGGCUCAACCUCAAAAUUACAUUUGAAACUGGAAGGCUAAAGUACUGAAGAGGGGGGUAGAAUUUCAUGUGUAGCGGUGAAAUGCGAUCAGAUCUGAAGGAAUACCGGUGGCGC